UGUCCGUCUUGCUUGCUGCUGCGGCUGAACAGAUGAUUUGUUUCAGUGCUCAGAUGCGUGAUCUACUUUAAGCCGACAUACGGAUAUUAUAAUAUUCAGUUUUGUGGGCCAAAUUUAUUUUAUAUGCCAACAUCUAUGAAAGAAAGAGCCAGGCCACGGAGCGCGAUGCGUCAUUUACGCACAGAUGGUUCCGAUUUUAAUGCCAUUUUUGGAGUUUAUGUUGUGAUCUGUGCGCUAAACCCACCUUUGUCACGUGAGGUUUGAAUAUAUGCAACUUUAUGUGAGUGUCUUUAUUUGUGGAAAAGGGUGUUUGUCUUACCAGUGGGUCCAACAUUACACACACCAAAUCCAUCUGUGCUCAGAUGAGAGAGUGUGGAGGACACUUGUUGAGCAGCUGCCCUCUGUCGCCAUCGUGUGGCAUAACUGUCUUCAGACAUCUCUCGAUCUCUUUGACUACUUCAUGAAAAUAGUAAUACGCCUCGCCGGUGGCGGAUUUAAAGGCAAGGAGAGGAGCUUAUGUGAUUGGUGAAAACAGGUCUCGGCUGUGUUAAAUCUACUACACGC
This is a non-coding RNA of Xyrichtys novacula (pearly razorfish), 564 nucleotides long. The record is from the annotation of a GenBank genome assembly. Lineage: Eukaryota; Metazoa; Chordata; Actinopteri; Labriformes; Labridae.